Molecule: ribosomal RNA, 406 nt
Filed under: uncultured bacterium
Lineage: Bacteria
Description: partial 16S ribosomal RNA
Rfam family: Bacterial small subunit ribosomal RNA
Source: RNAcentral
AUUGAACGCUGGCGGCAGGCCUAACACAUGCAAGUCGAACGAGUGGCGGACGGGUGAGUAAUGUCUGGGAAACUGCCCGAUGGAGGGGGAUAACUACUGGAAACGGUAGCUAAUACCGCAUACCAUCGGCGGUGCCCAGAUGGGAUUAGCUAGUAGGGGGGGUAACGGCGCACCUAGGCGACGAGCCCUCGCUGGUCUGAGAGGAUGAACAUCCACACUGGAGCUGAGACAGGGUCCAGACUCCUACGGGAGGCAGGAGUGGGGAAUAUGGCACAAUGGGCGCAAGCCUGAUGCAGCCAUGCCGCGUGUGUGACGAAGGCCUUCGGGUUGUAAAGUACUUUCAGCGAGGAUGCGUUACUCGCAGAAGAAGCACCGGCUAACUCCGUGCCAGCAGCCGCGGUAAUAC